Molecule: long non-coding RNA, 4602 nt
Organism: Labeo rohita (rohu)
Lineage: Eukaryota; Metazoa; Chordata; Actinopteri; Cypriniformes; Cyprinidae
Exons: 8
Source: RefSeq, a predicted model, not a curated record
UGCGCACACACCCUGGUGAGAUGGAGAGCGAUGCAGAGAGCAGCAAUUACAAUGGUUCUGAGAGCAGCUUUGAAGUGGAAGACUUCUCCCCACCAGAAUCCCUUGAAUUACACUGUGACUGGGUUGAUGAUAGCGCAGGUUCAUUGCCUUAUCAAUUUGAACCUUUGAACCCUCACAUUCAUGCAAGAGAAAGAGUGUAUAGGGUUGUGAAUUUGAGCCAGAUGCUGAAUGUACUGUGAAAGUGCACUCUGACGAUAAUGGGCGAUGGUAAAAUCAUCUGCUCAAACUGAAUUCUUCUAAGUUUCAAAAGGCUUCCACGGGAAGCCUGAGCCUGCACAGGGCAUGCCCGGCAAGCCCGAAAGGCCCCAACAUAUAGAGCUGUGGCUCUCGACCACAAAGAGCCAGACAUUUUCACUCAGCCCUGGAAUUCAUCUUCAUGACUCAACUCAGUCAGUCAGGGGUUAUUUUAGAACCUAAGAGGAUGAGGAAGAUGAGCUAGAAUUCUUCAGGACUUCCCUAAGCGUGCGUCAGACCUUGCGGCCUUGUCUUUCCAUUCCCCAAAGAUCACAGGACUUCAGCUGGGUCCCUCUCAGCUCUUGGUUCUUCUUUACUUUUCACAUGGGAAGAAACUCCCAGUCACCACUGAGUCAGAACAUCUUUGGAGUUCACCACUCUUCAGACCCGGAAAAACGUGAUCACGAUUCCAAAACCACCACUGCUCCAAACCAUUAAGACUUUCAUCCGAGACUGCAUUCGGACACUUGUUCAACAACCAAGGCAAUGCAAGUAUUGUACAUUUAACUAAACAAAACAGAGGUUUAGUAUAAGCUGUAGACAGCACUGAUGGUUUCACUCAGGUGGUUAACUGAUUCUUCUCAUAGCUUCAUUAUCUUGUCUCUCUUUAAUGGCCUUUCACUGACCCUUCCCCCAUGUAUGAGUGAUUUCAUGUUUGUUUGUUUAGAUUAGUUAUGUGUCAGUACUUAGUUAAUAAAGCUCUUGUGUUACAUGAGUUUUGAUUCUCAUUCUGCCUUGCAAAAUUAAUGUCCCUUUACGAUUCCGAUUCGAGCUACAUGCUCUAAUACAAUGGUACUUUAAGAAAGUUAUUUACUGUGGCCAAGAAAAUAUAAUUUCUUAGAGUUGAUAUAAAAAUUAUAAUGAAUGUUCGUUGGAAGAACAGAUCAGUUGAUGGAAAAUUAAUCCUGCUACAGUUACUACUGGCAGCUGGUAUAAAUAAUUGUAAUUAAUCAUAAUUAAUUGUAAUUAUUUAUAUACAUUUCCCUUUUGAGCUAAAUUCGCGACAGUAUGCUGCAGUUGUAUUAGGUAGUCGUGGCAGUACCUGCAACAGGAUCAACUAGUUUGACGGGCCAAUCCAUGCUUACCAUUUCCAUAAUGCUCGGCCAAUGAUAAAAUGAUAAAAUUUCCAUCUCAAUAAUAGAUCAGUGAAUUGCCUUUUUGGAUUUGGCUUGGCAAGUGGCGAUAGCCCAAUAAUGUAUCAACCAAUAGCAAAUUCGUGCAUUGUGUAAUCGCCAUCUUGGUUUGUCUUGGCCAGCAGCGAAAGCCCAAUAAUGUAUCGACCAAUCUCGAAUCCACUUUCAAAAAUCACUGUGGCCAACAUCAUGAAUCAGAUUGACAGAUCCUUCCACCAAUCAGGUUGCAGCAUUCAAGCAUAUUUUGUGCUAGCAUCAGCUUGGGAAGAGAUGCUGUAGUGAAUACCAACAGCGAGACCUCACCUGUCUCAUCAGUUCCAUCUCCUUACAGUGACAGCUCUGUUGCUACAACCACUGUGACAACCAGCACUUCUCCUUCCACUGCUGGGAGAGCUAGGCCUGCUUCAUCGUCUGUGAGAGCCAGCCCAUCUCAAUUCUCUGGGAGAUCAAGUCCGUCUUCAUCUCCUAUGAGAACCAGUCCAUCUCCAUCCUCUGCCAAAGCCAGUGCUUCUCCAUCUCCAUCCAUGAUAAGCAGCCCUUCUGCAUCUGGUGAUCCUGUAGCUUCUGGCAGUCAUUUGUGGCAGUUGCUGCUUCACCUUUGGCUCCUGCUCCAUCUUCAGCUCCUGCUGAUUCUUCCAUUUGUGCACUGCCAGCUGAAAUGAGGAAGACAAUCCCCUCACAAGAUCAGAGGUGGACAGCAUCUACACUUUUUCACACUGGCAGACUUCGGUCAGACUUAAAACUCUGGUGUGAGCCUCCAGUCCCCUCCCUUAUCUACCACCAGGCACCAGCUCCAGACCAUUUUUUUCACACACAGGCUGCUGGUGUGGAUGCCCUACCACCAAUGGAAGAUGCAUGUGACAUUCGUGUCAUACGUCUGCUGAGGGAGAGGACACUUAGCAAUAGCCCUUCCCCGACUGGUUAAGCAACUGAAGGAGAACCAUGGAGAGGGAUGGCUCAACAGAUUGGCACACUACAUGGGGGAAUGUGCGGCCUUUGUUGACCACCCCAGCUUCUUGCCAGUUGUUUUCCAGGAGCCUCCAGAGCUGUUUGAAGUCCCUACCAGCAAAUAGCUACUGACUGUUAAUGGGAAGGAUAUUGUCAACCGACUGGAUCACAUUAAGGCCAGCAUCACUUUUGGGUCAAUUUUAAAAAUGGAUUUGACAAAGGAGAUCACAAAGAACAGGGCAAGCUUCAGACCCGAUUUUGAGAAUGGCCCAACCUUAACAUCAGGCUGGACAUAUGACACUUUAUGCGACAGCUGGCAGCAGGGUGCACCACGGAUGCCCAUUGCCUUCAUGGCAAAGCUAUCUGAAUGCAUAUUUGAGUGGGACCCACAUGACAUUGCUCUUUUGCAUCAGGCGAAGAGAGAGCAGCUGGAAGAGAAAGAGGUGCGUUUAACAGGCGGAUAACAAAGAAAGAUUUGGCCCUCUUCUGCUGCCGAAAGACUUGUGGAGUAGAGACUACUAUCUGCCUAAUCAAGCACCUUUUGCAAGAGUUAAAGGAGAAAAAAGGAAGAGAUCUUCUAGGUGUACCUCUGCUGGACACUGUGCGGAUGGAGCACAUCUGACGUGUUCAAAAGAGACGUGAAGUGCCUCCAGGAUGUGCCAGGUGUGACGCUCUACAUAGAGACGAGCACCACCACUACCAAGGGACACAUAGUUCUCACCAAAUACAGGUGUGCCAGGGGCUCAACAUUUCUUGAGUUAUUCCACUGUCACUUGCAGAGAUUCAUUACAGAAACCAACGCAAAUACCUUGUAUUUUCAGCUGUAUCUCCUGGAAGGCCUGAACAGAUGGAAGCAGGACCGAGCAGCAGCACCUGUGGUCACCAAGCCAUCCUCUCUCCUCUCGCAUGCAAGUGAUGUAGUGCACUGUUUUAACACUAAUAGUUUGAAAGUGAUCGGUAGGAAAAAUGUUCCUACCUUCCAGCCCCCUGCAAAGUUCACAGGCCACAUCAUGCUAGCCACUUGUUUGUUCAACAUGAACCAUGGCUACAGAUGGUCAAUGAAAAUAGCCGAGAGCAGUCGGGGGCGGCGUUGAAAACAAAGCUGACACUUUCUGGUCUCGUUAGAAACGCUCUCGUGGUGUUUGCUUACUCAGGUGAAGGGAAUUAAGUGCAAUAUUUUUCAAAUACAAUGUUUAAAAGCGUUUUCAUGAACAACAGAAACAAUUUUCAUAUACUGAUUAAUACAGCGCCAUCUGAACAAUGUAUGUAUGAACAAUGAAUGAUGUUCAACAUAAACAUAUUCUAUUUACAUACUAAUAAAGUGGGGUUAGGUAUGCAUUUAACUCAAUAUAACAUUGCAACUACAGUAAAAACACUUUUACUGUUCUAAAAACACAGAUUUGUGAGCAUUAUCGGACUGGAGGAUGUUAGAAUAAACCCGAAACACAUGUGAUCGUUGUCAUGCGGUGAAUCAGGCCAAUCGUGAAACAGCUGUGUCGUCAUCAGAGCUCCUGCAGCUGCUCUGAAAAAACUGCGCCGGCUGAGUUAGCCGACUCUUGAAUUAUUAUCGCGGUACUUUGAUUCCACACGUGACAAUCACAAGUCAUCGGCGCCGUCUCAAGUCGGACAAAAUUUCUAACCAGCAUGCACUGCUUCAAGUCAAAAUUUAAUUGAGCUGUGCAGCGCUGUGUUAAGUCGAACACACCUUUUGUUUCCACUUUCAGGAGCACAUGUCAUAUGACUACAUAUUUUCUCCAACAAAAGGUGCAUUUUUCAUAAAUUUUCAAAUAUAUAAGUGCAGACAAAAAAUCUGUCACCUUCAUUGGUUAGUGAAGAAUUUUCAAAAACUUUUCAAAAUAUUUCAUCAAAUAUAUGAAAGGAAAUUACAAAGGCAACAUUGUAAUGUAAUGCAAUCACAUAUGGCCAUACCAGGCUUAUAGGACAGAAUACAUGUAUAUGAUAUUUGUAAGAAAAAAAGUUAGAAAUAGUUAUCUAAAUGUAUUUGCAUUUUUGCAUGAUAUUGUAAUGCAUUUAUAAGAAUUGUAAUUCAUAUACAAUAUCUGCACAUAUUCUGUUGACAGGAAGUGCUUCCACAGCUUUCACAAGCAGUGAGGAGUCAUUAGUGAGGAAGGAGAUUUUACAUGCAUGUAUGUUGUGUGUGUAUAUGCAUGCUUGUAAGGAUAAGUUACACAUUAGCAUAAGGUUAUGAUUUUUUUUUUUUUUUUUU